GGAAGGGGAUUGAAACAGAAUUCUCAGAGAACUUAAGAGAAACAGUGAGAUCAGGUGAGAAAAGAAUAGUAACAAGAUGAGAAGAGAAAAGAGCAUAGAGAUGAGAGAAAUUAUUAUUGAAUAGCAUUCUUUGAAUGAGUUGAUAUAGGUAUGACUUCUUCCUUUUAUACACAGCAGUAACUGCUUCCUAACAACUCCUUAACAAUCUCCAGACAACCAGAACUACCUCUAACUACUUGAGGCCUUUCCCUCCAAAAGUUGUUACAGGAGUUUCCCUCCAAUUCUAACCACCCGACCACUGCCACUAUCUAUUCUUUUUCCUUCUUCUAUAAUAAGUAACAAAGCAUUGUUGGGAACUGAAUUAGGUCUCCACUAGUCUUGUUUGAUGUUCCUUGUUUAGGAAAUUUGCAGGAUUUUGACUUUCUAGAAGACGGGUUUUUUUGCACUUUUAGAUUCUAUGGAAAGUUCUAGAUUUCCAUAGGAGUCUUCUUUAAACCUUGUUUGUUAAGGAUUACAUUUUAGAUUACUUAAAAGUUAACGUUAACUUUGGAGUCCAAAUCCUUGGAGGAUAAAGAUUAACUUUUUUAUUCUGUAAAUAAUUAUGUAUGUUGUUUGAUAGUUUUUUUAUCAAAGAGAAUUCCUGAAGUUUUGCAUCAUGAGUUGUGUGAUAUAAUCCUACUCUUGGGUGUGAUGCCUAAGGAUGUUUAGGUGUGAAGCCUACGCUAUUCUAUUGCUCACUUUGCCUAAUUUGGUUCUGCAAACAACCCCUCGAACCCUGCUUCUCGCACUAUUUUACUUUCCAAACCUACACCUUCUAAACCUGAACUUUCCAACUAAAUUCCUGCCCCCUUUAGAGUUCAACAAAACCUCAAAUUUCCACCUUAACUCUUAGAACUGCAUGCUGUCCUGCUUCAAUUUGGUAUCAGAGCUUCAAGAUCCUUUAAAUAUAUUCCUAACGCUGAAUUAAAUUCAAACUUUGAUUCUUUUCAAAAAUAAUUCAACUCCUUUCGUCAAGAACAUGAAGAAACAAAGGUGAGACUGAGCUCAUCCCAAGGUGGAUGAGUUGCUUAGGAUGAUGUCUUCUGGUACUUGCAGUAAGCAAACAACUUCAGCACCCAAUAGUCAAGCUCUCCCUCAAACAACAAACACGAGGGCUAAACAAAAUCUUGAAGUGGCACUUGUGCCUAAUGAAGAACAAGACACAGCCAGAGAUAUUACCAAGAAAGUCAAAGUGGAAGCUCCAAAUUUUAAAGGUAGGGUUCAUCCAGCAUUGUUUUGUGAUUGUCUUCAUUCUAUUGAAUCUUAUUUUGAUUUUUAUACCAUGGGAGCAGAUUGUAGAAGAUGAAGCUCAUUGGGCUAGCUAAAAUAUGGUAGUAAGGUGUUGAGCAAGGCAUGGUAAGAUUGAGGCAACUACCAAUUAAUACAUGGCAAGCGAUGAAAGCUAAACUACAAGAAAAAUAUAUGCCAUAUACUUCUUGGAAAAAAUGCUGAGAGGUUUAUACUUUGAAACAGGGCAGCAUGUUUGUGGCUGAAUACAUGCACCAGUUUGAUUAAUUGACGAUCAAAAGUGAAGUUGUGGAAGAUGUUCAAAGGUAUUAGCCAGAUUCAAGGCUGGUUUAAGAGCUGGUAUUAAGAAAGAAAUGUUCAGAAAACCCAUCUAUAGUGGCAAACAUGCAUUUCAAAUGGCCCUUGGCAUGGAGGCAUUUGAACCAACCAUCAAAAAAAUUGGGGUUCCAAUUCCAUCUAGAAAGAUAGCUUCAACAACGAAUUUGGAUGCAACUCGUAGCUCCAAGGAGUUUCAGCAUCAUUUUUGCAGAUUUAAUGGCUAGACAACAUGCUGAUUACCCUACCUUUUCUUUGCAUGAUGGGUAUCUCUUCAAGGGAACUUGCUUAUGUUUGCCUAAUACUUCCCUACAUGAAGAGGUGAUUCAAGACUUGCAUUCUGGAGCGUCAGCAGGUCAUUUUAGAGGGACAAGAACAUUGCUGUGGUGGAGGAUCGAUUUUAUAGGCCAAGCUUGAAGAUAAAUGUUGUUGGGGUUAUUGCUUGUUGCCGAACUCGUAAAAUGUAUGGCCAAGCUUAAAGAUAUAUGUUGUUGGGGUUAGUGCUUGUUGCCGAACUUGUCAAAUGUACAAGGGCAACAAGAAAAAAUACAGGGUUAUAUAUACCACUAGCUCCACAUUCGACUUGGAAAGAUUUGAGUAUGGAUUUUGUGCUUGGAUUGCCAAAGACUACGAGAGGUCAUAAUUCUAUUUUUCUGGUAAUUGAUUGAUUCUCAAAGAUGGCUCAUUUUAUUCCUUAUUCUAAAACAGCAGGUGCUCUCCAUGUAACUAAACUUUUUUUUAAUGAAGUUGUUAAUUCAUGGUCUACGCCUAACAAUUGUUUCAGAUUGUGACUUGAAAGUUUAUGAGCAAUUUCUAGCGGUCUUUGUGGAGAAUGCUGAACACAAAGUUGAAAUUUUCUUCAUCCUUUCACACAAAAACAGAUGGACAAAUUGAGGUUUUUAAUCGAAGUUUGGGUGACGUUCUGUGUUGUUGUGUUGGUGAUCAUGUUGGUAGUUGGGAUCAGAUUCUUCCUAUGGCCGAAUUUGCCAACAAUAGUUUUGUCAAUCAUGGCACUGAACACAGCACUUCUGAGAUGGUUACGGGCAAACGUCCUAAGAAACCCAUUGAUUUGAUUCCAUUACCCAUUGAUGCUCGUCCAAGUGUUGAUGCAGACACUUUUGGCAAGCAUAUGUGUGACAUAAAUGAUGAAAUUCGAAUAAGAAUUGGCUCCAGUAAUGCAGGUUACAAGGUGACUGCAGACCUUAGGUGCAAAUCUGUUAAAUAUCAAGGUGACAUCGUUAUGGUCCAUGUAAAGCCUAAACGAUUUUUGAUAGGUGCUAAUAAGAAGCUUCAUUCAAGGAAUACUGGUCCUUACGAGAUUUUGUAGAGAAUUAGUUCAAAUAGCUAUGCUCUUGACUUGUUUGAUGACAUAGGAAUAAGCAAUAUCUUCAAUAUUGAAUAUCUUUCUAUCGUGGAUAUGAUGGAGAUACACACAGUGAUGAAGUUACUACUAGACUCCUAUUAGCACCACGUCGGAAAGAGGAGGUUGAAGAUAUUGUAGACAAUCAAGUGGUUUCUAGUAGAGGCAGUGGCUACCAAAAAUUCCCAAUCAAAUGGGUAAGUCGUCCACAAUCAGAUUGUACUUGGAUCACUGGAGGAACUUCAACAGCUUGAUCCCGAUCACUAUGACAGAUUCCAUGCUUUUAACUCGACAGGGUUGAGCCUUUCCAAGCCGAAGAAAUGAUGGAGUACGAUGGCAACAUAUGUACAAAAGGUGUUCCAAAGCUAAUUUUAGUGCCCAAGCACUUGUUUGGCCCUUUGAUGACAAGGAGCAUUGUUGGGAAC
This 3387-nucleotide unclassified non-coding RNA is filed under the name Hevea brasiliensis (rubber tree). Lineage: Eukaryota; Viridiplantae; Streptophyta; Magnoliopsida; Malpighiales; Euphorbiaceae. The record is from RNAcentral.